RNAcentral lists this ribosomal RNA (500 nucleotides) under uncultured bacterium. Its description in RNAcentral is "partial 16S ribosomal RNA". It matches the Rfam family "Bacterial small subunit ribosomal RNA", at positions 30 to 523 of the family's 1533-position model. The record is from RNAcentral.
AUUGAACGCUGGCGGAAUGCUUUACACAUGCAAGUCGAACGAUGAACCUUAGCUUGCUAAGGGGAUUAGUGGCGAACGGGUGAGUAAUAUAUCGGAACGUACCUUGUAAUGGGGGAUAACUAGUCGAAAGAUUAGCUAAUACCGCAUACGCCCUGAGGGGGAAAGUAGGGGAUCUUCGGACCUUACGUUAUAAGAGCGGCCGAUAUCUGAUUAGCUAGUUGGUGGGGUAAUGGCCUACCAAGGCGACGAUCAGUAGCUGGUCUGAGAGGACGACCAGCCACACUGGAACUGAGACACGGUCCAGACUCCUACGGGAGGCAGCAGUGGGGAAUUUUGGACAAUGGGCGCAAGCCUGAUCCAGCCAUUCCGCGUGAGUGAAGAAGGCCUUCGGGUUGUAAAGCUCUUUCGCAAGGGAAGAAAACUUACAUUCUAAUAAAGUGUGAGGCUGACGGUACCUUGAUAAGAAGCACCGGCUAACUACGUGCCAGCCGCCGCCGUAA